Molecule: ribosomal RNA, 675 nt
Filed under: Triticum aestivum (bread wheat)
Lineage: Eukaryota; Viridiplantae; Streptophyta; Magnoliopsida; Poales; Poaceae
Description: partial small subunit ribosomal RNA
Source: RNAcentral
AUGGCCAGCCAGUGCCCCGGCCGAAGAAAUUCCAUGCUCGUCUACGACACCUGCCUGCUGCGCCACGCCAGCGCGAGCUUCUUCGGCGCCGCCGACACGUCGUGGGUCAAGUACUGGUGGAAUCCGCAGAACGCCGCGCAGCCGGAGCGGUUCGCGUCGCUGCUGGGCCCGCUGAUGGGCAACACCCAGAGGGCGGCGUUCGCGUCUCUGCGGAUGUUCGCCGUCGGCACGGCCGACGUGACGUCCUCCGACAGGAUCUACGGCAUGGCGCAGUGUACGCGCGACCUCGAUAACGACGACUGCCACGGCUGCCUCUUCACUGCCGUCUCAAGGAUCCCGACCUGCUGCGCCGGGAAGCGGGGUGGCCAGGUCAUCUUCCGGACUUGCUCCAUCCGGUUCGGGGUCUACCCUUUCUUCAACUCCCCUUCUGAGGCGGCCAUCUCUCAGGCGGCCAUGUCGCCGACGCUGCCGCCGCCGCCAGCAGGUGCGCGUAGCGACUACUCCACGCCCGGAAGCACCGGUGACGGUGAGUCAAUGCAUGCCUUCUGUCUGGGUCAAACUUGGUGGUACAAUGGCUCACGCGCUUGUACGUACGUACUAGUACUAGUACUACGUAGUGCUUAUGAAGUUCACACUUUACAUAUGGAGGUGGGGCUAGGUAUUAAUCAAGUCUAA